UACCAAGAGGAAAUUGCAAUUUAUUAUUUUUCUUAUUGUGGUAAAAUUCACAUGCAAUUAAAGGCCAAGAUCUCAAGUGCAAUUCAAUGAGCUUUGAAAAAUACAUAUACAGUGUAAUAAACACCGCAGUGAAAUCUUGUAAGCUUUGAAACCAGGUCUCAUAUGGGCUCACGUGCUCUGCUUGAGCUCCUCUUUCCUGUGUCACCAUCUAAAAAGUAUCCUUGGUCAGAAAGCUUAAUACCUCCUCUGAAGACUGAUAAUAUACAUCAUCUUCCUGGACCAGUCUACAAGUGAGGGACAGUGAAUAUUUUGAAUGGCAGCUUUUAGAUAACAAAUCCUCAAAGAGAGAUAGAGUCUUACUCAUCUCUAACAUGUGCUUGACUGUGGAAGACUGCCAAUUAAUAAUGAUUGAGUGAUUUGCUAAAUAAAUAAAAUCUCUGAACAUUGCAGUUAAUGUUAGAACCAGCACGAGGUUGCCUUCUAAUUCACGUGUCUCAUCAUUUCACUGAAGAUGUAUGGAACGCUUCCCCCUUUCAAAGUGUUAAGUACUUUGCUGUCAGCAUCACCAUCACAGCCUGCGAACUCGACACUAAAGAGAGAGAAGUGGAAAAGGCAAAUUUUGGAGAAAAUAAGCAGAAGGCAUGGGGACUGGAAGUUGUGAG
This 662-nucleotide long non-coding RNA is filed under the name Homo sapiens (human). RNAcentral's name for it is "HSALNT0365841". The record is from RNAcentral. Lineage: Eukaryota; Metazoa; Chordata; Mammalia; Primates; Hominidae.